This 585-nucleotide ribosomal RNA is filed under the name uncultured Chytridiomycota. RNAcentral's name for it is "SSU rRNA". It matches the Rfam family "Eukaryotic small subunit ribosomal RNA", at positions 624 to 1213 of the family's 1831-position model. The record is from RNAcentral. Lineage: Eukaryota; Fungi; Chytridiomycota.
AAGCUCGUAGUUGAAUUUCGGGCCUGGCUGGGUGGUCUUGCCGCAAGGUAAGCACUGCUCUGGUUGGGUCUUUCCUUCUGGGGAACCAGCGUGCCCUUAAUUGAGUGCGUUGGGGAUCCAGGACUUUUACUUUGAAAAAAUUAGAGUGUUUAAAGCAGGCUUACGCUUGAAUACAUUAGCAUGGAAUAAUAGAAUAGGACUUUGGUUCUAUUUUGUUGGUUUCUAGGACCGAAGUAAUGAUUAAUAGGGAUAGUUGGGGGCAUUAGUAUUUAAUUGUCAGAGGUGAAAUUCUUGGAUUUAUGAAAGACUAACUUCUGCGAAAGCAUUUGCCAAGGAUGUUUUCAUUAAUCAAGAACGAAAGUUAGGGGAUCGAAGACGAUCAGAUACCGUCGUAGUCUUAACCAUAAACUAUGCCGACUAGGGAUCGGACGAUGUUAUUUUAUUGACUCGUUCGGCACCUUAUGAGAAAUCAAAGUUUUUGGGUUCCGGGGGGAGUAUGGUCGCAAGGCUGAAACUUAAAGGAAUUGACGGAAGGGCACCACCAGGAGUGGAGCCUGCGGCUUAAUUUGACUCAACACGGGGAAA